CAGCAGCAGCCACGGGAAUACAGAGGGUGCGAGCGUUAAUCGGAUUUACUGGGCGUAAAGCGUGCGUAGGCGGCUUUUUAAGUCGGAUGUGAAAUCCCUGAGCUUAACUUAGGAAUUGCAUUCGAUACUGGGAAGCUAGAGUAUGGGAGAGGAUGGUAGAAUUCCAGGUGUAGCGGUGAAAUGCGUAGAGAUCUGGAGGAAUACCGAUGGCGAAGGCAGCCAUCUGGCCUAAUACUGACGCUGAGGUACGAAAGCAUGGGGAGCAAACAGGAUUAGAUACCCCAGUAGUCCCUGUCUCUUAUAA
Molecule: ribosomal RNA, 304 nt
Filed under: uncultured bacterium
Lineage: Bacteria
Description: partial 16S ribosomal RNA
Rfam family: Bacterial small subunit ribosomal RNA
Source: RNAcentral